UAUAGAUAUAGAUAAAUUAUUUUUUAAAAUUUUAUAAUUUUACUUCGAAUUUUUAGUAAACAUAUCAAAAUAUUUUUAUUUUUUUCUUUUCUAUUUUUUUUCGUUCGUUCGUUUGUUUUUCUCCUCCGUUCUGCUGUCGUUUCUUUCCCUCUUCUCCGCUCACUUUUUUUUUCUUUCUUUUCAGUCUCUUCACUGCUCUCACGUCGUUGUCACGCUCUUUUCUAUUAUCUCGGCCACACCUUCAUUGACACUGGUUCGAAUAUGGCACAAAUU
Molecule: long non-coding RNA, 273 nt
Filed under: Ananas comosus (pineapple)
Lineage: Eukaryota; Viridiplantae; Streptophyta; Magnoliopsida; Poales; Bromeliaceae
Description: long non-coding RNA (ACOM_LNC000381)
Source: RNAcentral